GUCCAGGCUUGCACCCCUCACAUUUUUGUAAAUAUUUUGUUAUAUCUUUUCAUGUGACAACACUGAAGAAAUGACUCUCUGCUACAAUGUAAAGUAGUAAGUGUACAGACUGUAUAACAGUGUAAAUUUACUGUCCCGUCAAAAUAACUCCACACACAGCCAUUAAUUUCUAAACCAUUGUCAAGAAAGGUGAGUACACCCCUAAGUGGAAUUAGCCAUUUU
Molecule: non-coding RNA, 222 nt
Organism: Pelobates cultripes (western spadefoot toad)
Lineage: Eukaryota; Metazoa; Chordata; Amphibia; Anura; Pelobatidae
Source: the annotation of a GenBank genome assembly